AACGAACGCUGGCGGCAUGCCUAACACAUGCAAGUCGAACGAGACCUUCGGGCCUUGUGGCGGUGGGGUACGUACCGAGUGGGAACCUGCCCUUAGGUAAGGAAUACCUCACCGUAGGGGGUGCUCAUACCGGUUAAUGUAAUAGGACCUAAGAUUUCUCGCCUCUGGGUGGGGCCGCGUUGGAUUCGCUGGUUGGUAGGGUACACGCCUACCAAGGCGACGAUCCUUAGCUGGUCUGAGAGGAUGAGCAGCCACGCUGGGACUGAGACACGGCCCAUACUCCGACGGGAGGCAGCAGUGGGGAAUAUUGGACGAGGGGCGAAAGCCUGAUCCAGCAAUGCCGCGGGAGUGAUGAAGGCCUUAUGGUUGUAAAGCUCUUUUAGCCGGGAUGAUAAUGACAGUACCGGGAGAAUAAGCGCCGGCUAACUCCGUG
RNAcentral lists this ribosomal RNA (433 nucleotides) under uncultured bacterium. RNAcentral's name for it is "partial 16S ribosomal RNA". It matches the Rfam family "Bacterial small subunit ribosomal RNA", at positions 29 to 507 of the family's 1533-position model. The record is from RNAcentral.